GACGAACGCUGGCGGCGUGCUUAACACAUGCAAGUCGAACGGAAAGGCCCUGCUUUUGUGGUGUUCUCGAUGGGCGAACGGGUGAGUAACACGUGAGUAACCUGCCCUUGACUUUGGGAUAACUUCAGGAAACUGGGGCUAAUACCGUAUAGGAUCUCCUGCUGCAGGGUGGGGGUGGGGAAGUUUCGGCGGUUGGGGAUGGACGCGCGGCUUAUCAGCUUGUUGGUGGGGUAGUGGCUUACCAAGGCUUUGACGGGUAGCCGGCCUGGGAGGGUGACCGGCCACAUGGGGACUGCGAUACGGCCCAGAGUCCUACGGGAGGCAGCAGGGGGGAAUCUUGCACAAUGGGCGGAAGCCUGAUGCAGAAACGCCGCGUGCGGGAUGACGGCCUUCGGGUUGUAAACAGCUUUAGCCUGUGACGAAGCGUGAGUGACGGUAAUGGGUAAAGAAGCACCGGCUAACUACGUG
RNAcentral lists this ribosomal RNA (468 nucleotides) under uncultured bacterium. RNAcentral's name for it is "partial 16S ribosomal RNA". It matches the Rfam family "Bacterial small subunit ribosomal RNA", at positions 28 to 507 of the family's 1533-position model. The record is from RNAcentral.